RNAcentral lists this transfer RNA (79 nucleotides) under Thermodesulfovibrio yellowstonii DSM 11347. RNAcentral's name for it is "tRNA-Trp". It matches the Rfam family "tRNA". From Rfam's summary of the family: Transfer RNA (tRNA) molecules are approximately 80 nucleotides in length. Lineage: Bacteria; Pseudomonadati; Nitrospirota; Thermodesulfovibrionia; Thermodesulfovibrionales; Thermodesulfovibrionaceae. The record is from RNAcentral.
UAGGCCAGUAGCUCUAACGGAUAGAGCACCGGACUCCAAAUCCGGGGGAUGGGGGUUCAAAUCCCUCCUGGCCUGUUCA